UACGUAGGGUGCGAGCGUUGUCCGGAAUUAUUGGGCGUAAAGAGCUCGUAGGCGGCUUGUCACGUCGAUUGUGAAAGCCCGGGGCUUAACUCCGGGUCUGCAGUCGAUACGGGCUAGCUAGAGUGUGGUAGGGGAGAUCGGAAUUCCUGGUGUAGCGGUGAAAUGCGCAGAUAUCAGGAGGAACACCGGUGGCGAAGGCGGAUCUCUGGGCCAUUACUGACGCUGAGGAGCGAAAGCGUGGGGAGCGAACAGG
RNAcentral lists this ribosomal RNA (253 nucleotides) under uncultured bacterium. Its description in RNAcentral is "partial 16S ribosomal RNA". It matches the Rfam family "Bacterial small subunit ribosomal RNA", at positions 524 to 776 of the family's 1533-position model. The record is from RNAcentral.